Non-coding RNA from Podarcis lilfordi (Lilford's wall lizard), 132 nucleotides. Lineage: Eukaryota; Metazoa; Chordata; Lepidosauria; Squamata; Lacertidae. The record is from the annotation of a GenBank genome assembly.
GGCUUCCUCAACCUCGGCCCUCCAGAUGUUUUGAGACUACAAUUCCCAUUAUCCCUGACCACUGGCCCUGCUAACUAGAGAUGAUGGGAAUUGUAGUCUCAAAACAUCUGGAGGGCCGAGGUUGAGGAAGCC